CGAGAUGUAAAGGGUAUCCCUAAAGCCCAUCGUGUCGUCCUGAACGAGCAGACCAGCUCCUGAAACGAGCGAAGCGAAAUUGAUGGUGAGAACGCCGGAGCUGUCGUAGAGCAGCUUGUCCCCGGCAGCAAAUCCGCCAUUCCACCAACUGCCCUGAUUGAGCCGCAGGAGCGAUCCUUCGUCCGAGACCGAUAGCGCACAAGUA
This 205-nucleotide ribosomal RNA is filed under the name uncultured eukaryote. Its description in RNAcentral is "partial large subunit ribosomal RNA". The record is from RNAcentral.